GAUGAACGCUGGCGGCGUGCCUCAAACAUGCAAGUCGAGCGGGGCUAUGUAAUACCGCAAGGUAGAACAUAGCCUAGCGGCGAACGGGUGAGUAACACGUGGGUAACCUGCCUGGAAGACAGGGAUAACGAUUCGAAAGGGUCGCUAAUACCUGAUAAUAUCCUUUCAUCGCAUGGUGAUAGGAAGAAAGGGGAAACCCGCUUUCAGAUGGGCCCGCGUCCCAUCAGCUAGUUGGUAAGGUAAAGGCUUACCAAGGCGACGACGGGUAGCCGGUCUGAGAGGAUGUACGGCCACACUGGGACUGAGAUACGGCCCAGACUCCUACGGGAGGCAGCAGUUGGGAAUCUUAGGCAAUGGACGAAAGUCUGACCUAGCGACGCCGCGUGAGGGAAGAAGGCCUUCGGGGUUGUAAACCUCUGUCAGUGGGGAAGAAGUAAGUGACGGUACCCAAGAGGAAGCCCCUGCUAACUACGUG
This 475-nucleotide ribosomal RNA is filed under the name uncultured bacterium. Its description in RNAcentral is "bacterial SSU rRNA". It matches the Rfam family "Bacterial small subunit ribosomal RNA", at positions 28 to 507 of the family's 1533-position model. The record is from RNAcentral.